ACGAAGACUGCGUUUCAAGCACAGAGUUUACCUAAAAACCAAUCUUCUCCCCUUUAACUUAUUUUCCACCAAGUCAAAUGGCAAUUCCUUUUUAAUUAGCCAGGGGUGUUAAAUAACAAAAGCAAGCUGUAUUUUCUUCUUCCUUUCCAGGUGACCAGGAUUUGGAUCAAUAGAUUUUGGCUGUUCUUCUUUCCUGGAGCCAGAAUGACAAGGACCCCAGGGCAGGAUCUGCACGUUGAUUCUAAACAACUUUCUUUACUGGAGGUCACUUGGGGAAAUUUUCAAAGGAACCCCACAUAGCAGUGAAAGACAACACUGACCUUCUGGCUGAUGCCCUUGGCAUAUUAAUAUGUGAAUGUGUAUCACAGGCUAGUUUUUGGGAAAGGACGUGUCAAGGCAUGCUUGUUACUACACAGGGGGGAAUGAGGGCAUCUACCACAGAGGAUUGUCCCUCUUCUAUGUCCCUUACAUCAGUGGCUCUUCUAGGUUUCCUCCUGAGAGUGUCAUCCAGUGGCAGCUUGAAUAUAUUCAAAG
This 534-nucleotide long non-coding RNA is filed under the name Heterocephalus glaber (naked mole-rat). Its description in RNAcentral is "lncRNA (ENSHGLG00000042440.1)". The record is from RNAcentral. Lineage: Eukaryota; Metazoa; Chordata; Mammalia; Rodentia; Bathyergidae.